Magnolia sinica is the source of this 374-nucleotide long non-coding RNA. RefSeq lists it as uncharacterized. The transcript has 3 exons. NCBI's taxonomy places the organism in Eukaryota, Viridiplantae, Streptophyta, Magnoliopsida, Magnoliales, Magnoliaceae. The record is from RefSeq and is a predicted model, not a curated record.
GAGAGCGAGAGACUCGCCAUCAGUAGGUUUUUACCCAAAUGAAACCAGAAAAAUGAAAAGAAGAAAAGAAAAAGGAGAGAGAGAGAGAGAGAGGGAGGGAGAGAUCGUAGCAAGAAAAAGAAUGGAAGAUGAAAAAAAUGUAAAAAUCGAAGAUCUGAUCUUCAAUCGAUCUUGACAUCGCCAGGGGAGAUUGGUGAUGUUGCCUCACCUCUUCAUCAACACAUGGAAGGCUGCUCGUCAUAUGGGUGCUCAUCGAAUGCAUGUGAUCCUUCGACCAGCUGCAAUCCACGUGAAGCAGGUUCACAUGUUGCAAUGGAAGGGAGUUGCCAAUCUGCAAAUAAUAGUGGUGAUGUUGCUAACCUGUGCAAGGUUAA